GGGAAUCUUCCGCAAUGGACGAAAGUCUGACGGAGCAACGCCGCGUGAGUGAUGAAGGUUUUCGGAUCGUAAAGCUCUGUUGUUAGGGAAGAACAAGUACCGUUCGAAUAGGGCGGUACCUUGACGGUACCUAACCAGAAAGCCACGGCUAACUACGUGCCAGCAGCCGCGGUAAUACGUAGGUGGCAAGCGUUGUCCGGAAUUAUUGGGCGUAAAGGGCUCGCAGGCGGUUUCUUAAGUCUGAUGUGAAAGCCCCCGGCUCAACCGGGGAGGGUCAUUGGAAACUGGGGAACUGGAGUGCAGAAGAGGAGAGUGGAAUGCCACGUGUAGAGGUGAAAUGAGGAGAGAUGUGGAGGAACACCAGUGGCGAAGGCGACUCUCUGGUCUGUAACUGACGCUGAGGAGCGAAAGAGUGGGGAGCGAACA
This 426-nucleotide ribosomal RNA is filed under the name uncultured prokaryote. RNAcentral's name for it is "bacterial SSU rRNA". It matches the Rfam family "Bacterial small subunit ribosomal RNA", at positions 357 to 774 of the family's 1533-position model. The record is from RNAcentral.